AAUGACGGUUUCAACGAGUUUGGAAUCUCAGCCCGAAAGGGUUGAGAAAACUUAGCCAUAACCGUCGUGACUGGGCUCGGUGCUUGCAACUGUUCUCCGUGAAC
This is a non-coding RNA of Opisthorchis viverrini, 104 nucleotides long. The record is from Rfam. Lineage: Eukaryota; Metazoa; Platyhelminthes; Trematoda; Opisthorchiida; Opisthorchiidae.